Molecule: non-coding RNA, 423 nt
Organism: Sinocyclocheilus anshuiensis
Lineage: Eukaryota; Metazoa; Chordata; Actinopteri; Cypriniformes; Cyprinidae
Source: the annotation of a RefSeq genome assembly
AUGGCAAAAUGGUUGAUUAUUACUAUUUUUUUCACAGUUCAUGAGUUUGUGUGCUGGGGACAAGACAAAGUUGAACAACCUUCAAGAGAAAUGACUGCCAAUGAAGCAGCUCAAAUUACUUUACUGUGCAAUUACUCUACCAGCAGUUAUAAUAAUGCAUAUCUCUUCUGGUACAAAUGACUACAAAAUAGAUCACCAACAUUCAUUCUGAGGGAAUUUACAGUUGGUAAAGGAACUACUGAGGAUGAAUUUAAAGAGAGAUUUUCUUCAACACUGGAUUCAACAUCAAGAACAGUUCCACUGAUGAUCAAGAAUCUGCGUGUGUCUGACUCUGCUGUGUACUACUGUGCUCUGCAACCCACAGUGACUGAAACACACUCAAUUCUCACACAAAAGCCCAGGAAGACACAUUACAGAGGAUAA